Molecule: ribosomal RNA, 485 nt
Filed under: uncultured bacterium
Lineage: Bacteria
Description: partial 16S ribosomal RNA
Rfam family: Bacterial small subunit ribosomal RNA
Source: RNAcentral
AUUGAACGCUGGCGGCAGGCUUAGCACAUGCAAGUCGAGCGGGGGAAGGUAGCUUGCUACCGGACCUAGCGGCGGACGGGUGAGUAAUGCUUAGGAAUCUGCCUAUUAGUGGGGGACAACAUCUCGAAAGGGAUGCUAAUACCGCAUACGUCCUACGGGAGAAAGCAGGGGAUCUUCGGACCUUGCGCUAAUAGAUGAGCCUAAGUCGGAUUAGCUAGUUGGUGGGGUAAAGGCCUACCAAGGCGACGAUCUGUAGCGGGUCUGAGAGGAUGAUCCGCCACACUGGGACUGAGACACGGCCCAGACUCCUACGGGAGGCAGCAGUGGGGAAUAUUGGACAAUGGGGGGAACCCUGAUCCAGCCAUGCCGCGUGUGUGAAGAAGGCCUUAUGGUUGUAAAGCACUUUAAGCGAGGAGGAGGCUACUUUAGUUAAUACCUAGAGAUAGUGGACGUUACUCGCAGAAUAAGCACCGGCUAACUCUGUG